Long non-coding RNA from Oncorhynchus kisutch (coho salmon), 790 nucleotides. RefSeq lists it as uncharacterized. The record is from RefSeq and is a predicted model, not a curated record. Lineage: Eukaryota; Metazoa; Chordata; Actinopteri; Salmoniformes; Salmonidae. The transcript is spliced from 2 exons.
AUCAUGAACCAGGAGCUGUGCUGAGGUUUCUGAGGAGUCACUGCCAGGACCUGCAGAGGGAGUGGGCCCGAUUCCUUCACUGGGUGGAGUAUGCCUAGAAUUCAUUGCGUCACUCCUCCACUGGGCUGACUCCCUUCCAGUGUGUUCUUGGUUAUCAGCCAGCCUUAGCUCCGUGGACCCUGAACCAGACCGAAGCUCCUGCGGUGGAAAAGUGGUUCAGGCGCGCAGAAGAAGUUUGGAACAAUGCCCACGGGAGGCUCCAGCGCACCAUCUGCCACCUGAAGGAGCAGGCGGAUUCGCCACUGCAAUAAGGCUCCCAUGUUCCAUCCUGGUGAUCGUGGCUGUCUCUCCACCAGGAACCUCCCACUUCGCCUGCCAUGUAAGAAGCUGAGCCCCCAGGCCGGUGGUUCCUGGUCUCCUGGUUGAAGCUAUCCCACAUCACACCUAUCCGUCUCCCCUCGAGGGAAGCCCCGCCUACGCCGUCAGAUCCCUCCUGCACUCCCGAAAUCAUGGGGGUUGGCGUCCCCCUGGCCGGCGUCGUCCUGCAGCUGAAGCUGCGCGUUGGGGUCCUGGCAACCCAUCAUUACACACACCUGGCAGCCCUCAUUACGCACACCUGCACCCCAUCAUUAGGCACACUUGGACUACCCUGAUGACUCCCCCUUUAUCUAGCACUCCCUAGCACUACUCUUCAGGCAGAUGAUUCUGUGUUCUGUGUUCAUGGCCAGAAGCUUCUCUUGAUUUGUUUCGCUCCAUGUUCUUUAUUAUUAAACUCACCAACUGCACCUGC